RNAcentral lists this long non-coding RNA (925 nucleotides) under Oncorhynchus mykiss (rainbow trout). RNAcentral describes it as "lncRNA (ENSOMYG00000070989.1)". Lineage: Eukaryota; Metazoa; Chordata; Actinopteri; Salmoniformes; Salmonidae. The record is from RNAcentral.
AUAUAAUGUUAUGUGCGUGAUCAAUUUAAAUGGAAAGCUGUUCAAUUGCAGCGGAAUAGCGGAUUUUUAAAUACUUGGGUUGACGUCACUAAACUUUUCAAGAAGCGGUGCGCGCCGUCCGCGUUUGUGAAUAGAGACAGAACAGAACCGUGCGGGAACGAGAGAGAGCUGGGCGACAAGGAGACCGUACAAAACAAGGACUCUUUCACUUCAUUCGGAGAGAGGGAACUGAUGAGUCAGAGGGGAGGAUAGAUGAGUGACAGACACUACUAGUGGGUUCCAGACACACAAAUCCAAAUCAAGAAGGUACAUUCAUCUUCCUCUCGUCACAACAUGUUGUUCCCUGAACAUUUCAUAAAGGUACAGGACCACUCCUGUUCUUCUACAUGAAAAUGGAAACGUAUUGCAUGUGUAAAGGACAGGUAACACAAUACUCUACUCAGCAAACUGGAUGCAGUUUAUCACAGUGGUAUCCGUUUUGUUACUAAAACACCUUAUACCACCCACCACUGCGACCUGUAUGCUCUAGUCGGCUGGCCCUUGCUACAGAUUCGUCGCCAGACCCACUGGCUCAAGGUCAUCUACAAGUCCAUGCUAGGUAAAGCUCCGCCUUAUCUCAGUUCACUGGUCAUGAUAACAACACGCGCUCCAGCAGGUGUAUCUCACUGAUCAUCCCUAAAGCCAACACCUCCUUUGGCCGCCUUUCCUUCCAGUUCUCUGCUGCCUGUGACUGGAACGAAUUGCAAAAAUCGUUGGAGACUUUUAGCUCCCUCACCAACUUUAAACAUCUGCUAUCUGAGCAGCUAACCGAUCACUGCAGCUGUACAUAGUCUAUCGGUAAAUAGCCCACCCAAUUUACCUACCUCAUCCCCAUACUGUUUUUAUUUAUUUACUUUUCUGCUCUUUUGCACACCAGUAUCUCUAC